RNAcentral lists this ribosomal RNA (447 nucleotides) under uncultured bacterium. Its description in RNAcentral is "bacterial SSU rRNA". It matches the Rfam family "Bacterial small subunit ribosomal RNA", at positions 355 to 825 of the family's 1533-position model. The record is from RNAcentral.
UCGGGAAUUUUGGGCAAUGGGCAAAAGCCUGACCCAGCAACGCCGCGUGAAGGAUGAAGUAUUUCGGUAUGUAAACUUCGAAAGAAUAGGAAGAAUAAAUGACGGUACUAUUUAUAAGGUCCGGCUAACUACGUGCCAGCAGCCGCGGUAAUACGUAGGGACCAAGCGUUGUUCGGAUUUACUGGGCGUAAAGGGCGCGUAGGCGGCUUGACAAGUCACUUGUGAAAUCUCUGGGCUUAACCCAGAACGGCCAAGUGAAACUGUCAUGCUAGAGUGCAGAAGGGGCAAUCGGAAUUCUUGGUGUAGCGGUGAAAUGCGUAGAUAUCAAGAGGAACACCUGAGGCGAAGGCGGGUUGCUGGGCUGAUACUGACGCUGAGGCGCGAAAGCUAGGGUAGCAAACGGGAUUAGAUACCCAAGUAGUCCCUGAGCGGGCUGGCAAGGCGCAU